GGUUGAAGAUAUGAAAGGAUGGAUUAAAAUCCUCAAGAGAUAGAGAUUUGAGGCUAAGAGAGAUUGUCAUCGGAUCCGUGAUGACCUAAAGCACCUAAGGAGGAUACUUGAAGUGAGAAGAGGUUUUUCUUGUCUUGAAACUCACUCUCAAAGGAGCUCCAGUGGUGGUCCAUCUAAGAGGACCAAAAUCUCUGAAGAGAUGAGCUGUGGAGAGAGAGC
This 219-nucleotide long non-coding RNA is filed under the name Elaeis guineensis (African oil palm). Its description in RNAcentral is "long non-coding RNA (EGUI_LNC060879)". The record is from RNAcentral. Lineage: Eukaryota; Viridiplantae; Streptophyta; Magnoliopsida; Arecales; Arecaceae.